AUAAGAUUUUAAUUGAAUGCUAAGAGAAUGGAAUUUCAGAAAAAAACUUUUUUCAAGUUAAAAAUUGAAAUUUUUUUAAUUUGUGCAGAAACAAUUAUUAAUAUUAAGGACAAGAAGACCCUAUGAAUUUAUAAAUUUUAUUUAAUAUGUAAUUACUAUUAAAAAAAUUUUAGCUGGGGCGGCGGAAAAAUAUUUAAAACUUUUUAAGAAUAAAAUGACCCAUUAUUAAUGAUUAUAUGUUAAAUACUCUAGGGAUAACAGCGUUAUAUUUUUUGAUAGAUCAUAUUGACAAAAAAGUUUGCGACCUCGAUGUUGGAUUAGGAUACUUUUUUAAUGCAGAUAUUAAAAAAAGAAGUU
RNAcentral lists this ribosomal RNA (357 nucleotides) under Rhipicephalus sanguineus (brown dog tick). RNAcentral's name for it is "partial 16S ribosomal RNA". The record is from RNAcentral. Lineage: Eukaryota; Metazoa; Arthropoda; Arachnida; Ixodida; Ixodidae.